CAGGCUUAACACAUGCAAGUCGAGGGGCAGCAUGGUCUUAGCUUGCUAAGGCCGAUGGCGACCGGCGCACGGGUGAGUAACACGUAUCCAACCUGCCGUCUACUCUUGGACAGCCUUCUGAAAGGAAGAUUAAUACAAGAUGGCAUCAUGAGUCCGCAUGUUCACAUGAUUAAAGGUAUUCCGGUAGACGAUGGGGAUGCGUUCCAUUAGAUAGUAGGCGGGGUAACGGCCCACCUAGUCUUCGAUGGGUAGGGGUUCUGAGAGGAAGGUCCCCCACAUUGGAACUGAGACACGGUCCAAACUCCUACGGGAGGCAGCAGUGAGGAAUAUUGGUCAAUGGGCGAGAGCCUGAACCAGCCAAGUAGCGUGAAGGAUGACUGCCCUAUGGGUUGUAAACUUCUUUUAUAAAGGAAUAAAGUCGGGUAUGGAUACCCGUUUGCAUGUACUUUAUGAAUAAGGAUCGGCUAACUCCGUGCCAGCAGCCGCGGUAAUACGGAGGAUCCGAGCGUUAUCCGGAUUUAUUGGGUUUAAAGGGAGCGUAGAUGGAUGUUUAAGUCAGUUGUGAAAGUUUGCGGCUCAACCGUAAAAUUGCAGUUGAUACUGGAUAUCUUGAGUGCAGUUGAGGCAGGCGGAAUUCGUGGUGUAGCGGUGAAAUGCUUAGAUAUCACGAAGAACUCCGAUUGCGAAGGCAGCCUGCUAAGCUGCAACUGACAUUGAGGCUCGAAAGUGUGGGUAUCAAACAGGAUUAGAUACCCUGGUAGUCCACACGGUAAACGAUGAAUACUCGCUGUUUGCGAUAUACAGCAAGCGGCCAAGCGAAAGCGUUAAGUAUUCCACCUGGGGAGUACGCCGGCAACGGUGAAACUCAAAGGAAUUGACGGGGGCCCGCACAAGCGGAGGAACAUGUGGUUUAAUUCGAUGAUACGCGAGGAACCUUACCCGGGCUUAAAUUGCAGAUGAAUUACGGUGAAAGCCGUAAGCCGCAAGGCAUCUGUGAAGGUGCUGCAUGGUUGUCGUCAGCUCGUGCCGUGAGGUGUCGGCUUAAGUGCCAUAACGAGCGCAACCCUUGUUGUCAGUUACUAACAGGUUCUGCUGAGGACUCUGACAAGACUGCCAUCGUAAGAUGUGAGGAAGGUGGGGAUGACGUCAAAUCAGCACGGCCCUUACGUCCGGGGCUACACACGUGUUACAAUGGGGGGUACAGAGGGCCGCUACCACGCGAGUGGAUGCCAAUCCCCAAAACCUCUCUCAGUUCGGACUGGAGUCUGCAACCCGACUCCACGAAGCUGGAUUCGCUAGUAAUCGCGCAUCAGCCACGGCGCGGUGAAUACGUUCCCGGGCCUUGUACACACCGCCCGUCAAGCCAUGGGAGCCGGGGGUACCUGAAGUGCGUAACCGCGAGGAGCGCCCUAGGGUAAAACUGGUGACUGGGG
Molecule: ribosomal RNA, 1433 nt
Filed under: uncultured organism
Description: 16S ribosomal RNA
Rfam family: Bacterial small subunit ribosomal RNA
Source: RNAcentral